CUCCCAUUUAAGAUACCCCAUGUCACAAAAUCAUCUAGUAUCAUGCAGAAAAAAUGUCUAAAGAACCAAAACAGAUUCAAUGCAGUGACGGCAGAAAGUGUAUGGGCAUGAAGAUUCAAAGAAAAAGAUGCGGCCGUUGAAAGAUUUAUAUGCUCCUUUGCUCCAGGUACCUGAACCACUAAGGCCAGUUUCACCAAAUUCAUUUAGUCCAGAAGCACCAACACCAAGUUCAUCUGCACUCUUACCUCCUCCACCACUUCCAGAAUCAGAAGACCAAGUGUUUCCUCCUAAUGGAAAUCAAAAUGUAAAAAGGAAAAAAGCAAGUAAGACCCAAACUGAGUGUUCAGCUGCAGUAAUCUGCUUCUCUUGUGGGACUGAGAGCAUUUACUCCCUCCACUUCUGUAAUGACCCUAUUCACAAUUUAUACCAGUCUUAUGUUUCACUGUGUGACCCUCCAAGACCAUCCAUAUGACACUGGAAAGUUCAGAGAAAAUGUAAACGUAAAAUAAAGGCAUAUUUUAUAAGACUUAGAGAAUAUGAAAAAUAUCUAAAGGAAAGAAAC
RNAcentral lists this long non-coding RNA (562 nucleotides) under Homo sapiens (human). Its description in RNAcentral is "HSALNT0367706". Lineage: Eukaryota; Metazoa; Chordata; Mammalia; Primates; Hominidae. The record is from RNAcentral.